GUAAGACUGGGAUAACUCCGGGAAACCGGGGCUAAUACCGGAUGGUUGUUUGAACCGCAUGGUUCAGACAUAAAAGGUGGCUUCGGCUACCACUUACAGAUGGACCCGCGGCGCAUUAGCUAGUUGGUGAGGUAACGGCUCACCAAGGCGACGAUGCGUAGCCGACCUGAGAGGGUGAUCGGCCACACUGGGACUGAGACACGGCCCAGACUCCUACGGGAGGCAGCAGUAGGGAAUCUUCCGCAAUGGACGAAAGUCUGACGGAGCAACGCCGCGUGAGUGAUGAAGGUUUUCGGAUCGUAAAGCUCUGUUGUUAGGGAAGAACAAGUGCCGUUCAAAUAGGGCGGCACCUUGACGGUACCUAACCAGAAAGCCACGGCUAACUACGUGCCAGCAGCCGCGGUAAUACGUAGGUGGCAAGCGUUGUCCGGAAUUAUUGGGCGUAAAGGGCUCGCAGGCGGUUUCUUAAGUCUGAUGUGAAAGCCCCCGGCUCAACCGGGGAGGGUCAUUGGAAACUGGGGAACUUGAGUGCAAAAGAGGAGAGUGGAAUUCCACGUGUAGCGGUGAAAUGCUUAGAGAUGUGGAGGAACACCAAUGGCAAAGGCGACUCUCUGGUCUGUAACUGACGCUGAGGAGCGAAAGCGUGGGGAGCGAACAGGAUUACAUACCCUGGUAGUCCACGCCGUAAAC
RNAcentral lists this ribosomal RNA (690 nucleotides) under Bacillus velezensis. RNAcentral's name for it is "bacterial SSU rRNA". It matches the Rfam family "Bacterial small subunit ribosomal RNA", at positions 132 to 807 of the family's 1533-position model. The record is from RNAcentral. Lineage: Bacteria; Bacillati; Bacillota; Bacilli; Caryophanales; Bacillaceae.